RNAcentral lists this long non-coding RNA (1627 nucleotides) under Sus scrofa (pig). RNAcentral describes it as "lncRNA (ENSSSCG00070007702.1)". Lineage: Eukaryota; Metazoa; Chordata; Mammalia; Artiodactyla; Suidae. The record is from RNAcentral.
CGUGCGCCGAGGCGCCCUUGCGUCACAAGCCCUCUUAUUUAUAGCAAGAGUGACGUGAACGCCCAGGCGGCCAAUCGCAGUCGGGCCUCAAUCCUAGCGCCGACGAGCGGGGGCGGAGGCCCGCCUCGCCGACGUCACAGCGCGGCGGCGGCCGCCGGUGUGAACCGGUUGAUGAAUGGCGACCGGCUGCAAUCAGAGCGCCUACCAGGCGGGGGUGGGAAGGGUCAUUGGAGGGUCUGCAGGGGAAGCCCCGUACGGGGAUGAGAGGCUGCUCUACGUAACUAAACCCCUGACGAGUGCACUCUCAUCUCAGGAGGAGGCCCGAAGUUGGCCUCAACUAGAAUGCAGUGCACUUCGGACUGGAGCGUAGUCUCAAUCCCAGGCCUACUUCUUUUGCCGGGUGGAUGGUCCCUAUCUCCAUUGGCUGUGGACCAGGAAUCACAUGGUCCAGUUCCUGCUGUCAGCAGAAAUCCGUGGCCUGACCGUGACACUUGUGCUUAGAGUCUUAGCACAUGGUCUGGCGCUGCUGCUGGGAAUCCUGAGUCACUCUUCUCCUGUGAUUCCUAAUGUUGAAGGGAGUCUCUGCAGAGGAGGAAGGACAGUCUGUCAGGUGAGCUCAUCACCGUAUCAUCACCGUCUGCUUCCUGACUUCCCCGGAGACUGUGUAAUGUGUGUGAAAGGGGCACUUGUCAACUUCCAGGAAUAGCACUGUCUCAUUCUGUGACCUUGGACAAGGUCACUCAAAUUCUCAGAGCCUUGGUUUCUGUAGUUAAAAUGGAAAAUGGUUCCACAGAGUCAGCACCAAUAUUUAGACAAUUAAUGUAUGGAAAGUCUUACCCAGAUCCAGACAAAUGAAAAAAAUAUUUUUAUAACACUGUAGACAUAAGGCAUAUGGAUAUUAUUUGUAUCCUCUACAUUUGCAAAAUAACUUGAGAUAUUUACAAUAUAAUAGAGGAAUGACAAAAAAAAAGUAGAUGACCAUUCAUAGGUCAUUUAUUCACUCAACAAACAGGCAUUGGUUACUAUUUCAGGCAAGGUCUGUGAGGCACUGGGGGACUUGAUUUUUAAAGCAUUUAUAAUCUAGGAGGAAGUUUGGAUACAUACAAACAAUUCACAAGGUAAUAUUUACUGUGUAUAAACUAUGUACAUGAAGUAACUGCUAUGGCAGUUUAAACCAGAAUAAUCCCGAGGAAGGCUUAACAUAAAAUGAAGUUAAUGGCAGCCAGUUCCAACAUGUGUUGUGUUCCCAUUAUGUGCACUGCUCUAGGUAUGUGUAUAUUCAGUGAAGACUCUCAGCAGAGAAAAUUGUGUGGGCUGGACCAGGGAGGCAAGAAUCUACACAUAAUGUGUGUCAGGGAAGCACCAGCUCAGGAUGGAGCAGUCCCUUAAGAAAGAUGUUGAGGAAGUUCCCUGGUGGUGCAAUGGGUUAGGGAUCUGAAGUCACUACAGAGGCUAAGGUCGCUCCUGUGAUGAGGGUUUGAUUCCAGGCCUGGGAACUUCCAAAUGCUACAGGCACGGCCAGACAUACACAGAAAAGAUGGUUGAAAUGAAUUUGAAGAAUUGUGUAGGUGUAACAUGAUGAAUGGCUUCAAAUAAAAGGUCAAGGUUUGGUCUUUGUCGUUGCCUU